UACGGAGGUGGCAAGCGUUGCUCGGAAUCACUGGGCGUAAAGGGCGCGUAGGCGGGGUGGUAAGUCGGGUGUGAAAUCCCUCGGCCCAACCGAGGAACUGCGCCCGAGACUGCUUCUCUUGAGUCCCGGAGAGGAAGAUGGAAUUCCCGGUGUAGCGGUGAAAUGUGUAGAGAUCGGGAGGAACACCGGUGGCGAAGGCGGUCUUCUGGACGGUGACUGACGCUGAGGCGCGAAAGCGUGGGGAGCAAACGGG
This 253-nucleotide ribosomal RNA is filed under the name uncultured bacterium. RNAcentral's name for it is "partial 16S ribosomal RNA". It matches the Rfam family "Bacterial small subunit ribosomal RNA", at positions 524 to 776 of the family's 1533-position model. The record is from RNAcentral.